UGAAGAAGUAUUAGGCAUGUGCCUAAUAAGAGUUUUCUUUGGUUUGGUAGCCAACCUUGUUGACUUGGUUUGGUUGGUAGCCAACCUUGUUGAAUUUCUUUGGUUUGGUAGCCAACUUUGUUGAAUUGUGAAAAAUGUGUGUAAAUUGUCAAAUAUUGUAGGCUUUAGAGGGUGAAGCUUUGGCUAUAAAAGGAGAGCUUCAACUCUCAUUUCUUCACACCAACAAAGAGAGAAAGAAAGAGUAAGGUUUCACAGACAAGGUAUAAGAAAAUAGUCUGUGAGGAAAAUAGAGAGAGAGCGAUAUUGUAGUGAGGUGGGAAUAUCAAAAGAGG
RNAcentral lists this long non-coding RNA (332 nucleotides) under Nicotiana tabacum (common tobacco). RNAcentral's name for it is "long non-coding RNA (NTAB_LNC015844)". Lineage: Eukaryota; Viridiplantae; Streptophyta; Magnoliopsida; Solanales; Solanaceae. The record is from RNAcentral.